GGGCUUGGUAACGCGAGCCUGUAACCCAAGUGGGAUUAAGAUGGUGGAACAAUUGGGCUCGCUCUGAAGGCUGGGCUUUUGGGGUGCUAUCUUCUGGCCUGCCCGUUCCAAGUGGUGAGUUUGGAUGGUGGAGUCUCUGCGAAGGCGGAGGCUUCAUUGUCCUUAGUUCGGAAGGUACCGCGUGAGGCUGGCUUCACAGAGCAGCGAAAACCUCCUCCUCUCUGCAGUGGAAGGAUAACGGGCCGGUGCAUUCUUAGUCCACUAACGCCGGAUGGGCUACCCAAAUUGAACCACCAUCUUU
RNAcentral lists this signal recognition particle RNA (301 nucleotides) under Ipomoea nil (Japanese morning glory). Its description in RNAcentral is "Plant signal recognition particle RNA". It matches the Rfam family "Plant signal recognition particle RNA". The record is from Rfam by way of RNAcentral. Lineage: Eukaryota; Viridiplantae; Streptophyta; Magnoliopsida; Solanales; Convolvulaceae.